AUGCAGUCACGCAGGCACAACAGACAAGACACAUCUCUCGGUCUCUCCCUCUCCCUCGUCCCUCCUGGCUCCUGCCGUCCUCCGUCCUGCGACUCCAAUCAGCGCCGGCCAGGCCUGGCGCCGGCUCUGGCAGUGCAGACGGCCGAACCUGCAAUCAUGAAGAGGAAGACAAUGCUUUGUUUUUUUGAGAAGGUUGGAUCAAGCUCCUGCCCUGGCUCCCAACCUGAACCUACUGCUACCGGUGUUGAUGAUUCCAACACAGCCGAACAAGGACAAAGUAGUGGACAGAGUAACACUCACACUCUUGAUCAGAAUAUUUCAGCAUCUGUAGAAGGUCCACAGCAAGAGACAGUUGUAACAAUAGAAACAGAUUAUAUUAGAGACCCCAGCAAACGUCUUCAAAUUUGGCAACUCCCUCCUGCCAAGCAAGAUGAAGCUCGGCGUUUUUAUAUAUCUAAGGGCGCAUAUCAACCGAUCCUACAACCAGAGGAAUACCCAUUUGCUGGAACGGACAAGGUAAUGGUUAAGCAAUGUGAGAAAAGAGUGGCAGAUGCGAGACUAAGACUCAAGACUACAAUUGAUGCCAUCAGGUGGUUAGCAUUUCAAGCGUGUCCCUUUAGAGGCCAUGAUGAAUCUCCGGGAUCUAAAAACCAAGCCAUUAGCUGGGCUAGGUGA
RNAcentral lists this ribosomal RNA (675 nucleotides) under Triticum aestivum (bread wheat). RNAcentral's name for it is "partial small subunit ribosomal RNA". The record is from RNAcentral. Lineage: Eukaryota; Viridiplantae; Streptophyta; Magnoliopsida; Poales; Poaceae.